Molecule: ribosomal RNA, 484 nt
Filed under: uncultured bacterium
Lineage: Bacteria
Description: partial 16S ribosomal RNA
Rfam family: Bacterial small subunit ribosomal RNA
Source: RNAcentral
AUUGAACGCUGGCGGCAGGCCUAACACAUGCAAGUCGAGCGGAUGAAGGGAGCUUGCUCCUGGAUUCAGCGGCGGACGGGUGAGUAAUGCCUAGGAAUCUGCCUGGUAGUGGGGGAUAACGUCCGGAAACGGGCGCUAAUACCGCAUACGUCCUGAGGGAGAAAGUGGGGGAUCUUCGGACCUCACGCUAUCUGAUGAGCCUAGGUCGGAUUAGCUAGUUGGUGGGGUAAAGGCCUACCAAGGCGACGAUCCGUAACUGGUCUGAGAGGAUGAUCAGUCACACUGGAAGUGAGAAACGGUACAGACUGCUACGGGAGGCAGCAGUGGGGAAUAUUGGACAAUGGGCGAAAGCCUGAUCCAGCCAUGCCGAGUGUGUGAAGAAGGUCUUCGGAGUGUAAAGCACUUUAAGUUGGGAGGAAGGGCAGUAAGUUAAUACCUUGCUGUUUUGACGUUACCAACAGAAUAAGCACCGGCUAACUUCGUG